CAAGGUGGCUGGGUGAUCGCUGCGUGUUUUGAACACGGAGAGGAAAGUCCGGGCUCCGCAAAGGAAAGGUGGCGGAUAAUGUCCGCCGAGGGUAACCUCAGGGAAAGUGCCACAGAAAAUAUACCGCCAAGUUAUUGGUAAGGGUGAAAUGGCGAGGUAAGAGCUCACCGCAUUUCUGGUAACAGAAAUGCGGUGAGCUCUUACC
RNAcentral lists this RNase P RNA (205 nucleotides) under Alphaproteobacteria bacterium. RNAcentral describes it as "partial RNase P RNA component class A". It matches the Rfam family "Bacterial RNase P class A", at positions 1 to 217 of the family's 367-position model. From Rfam's summary of the family: Ribonuclease P (RNase P) is a ubiquitous endoribonuclease, found in archaea, bacteria and eukarya as well as chloroplasts and mitochondria. The record is from RNAcentral. Lineage: Bacteria; Pseudomonadati; Pseudomonadota; Alphaproteobacteria.